GAUGAACGCUGGCGGCGUGCCUAAUACAUGCAAGUCGAGCGAACGGACGAGAAGCUUGCUUCUCUGAUGUUAGCGGCGGACGGGUGAGUAACACGUGGAUAACCUACCUAUAAGACUGGGAUAACUUCGGGAAACCGGAGCUAAUACCGGAUAAUAUUUUGAACCGCAUGGUUCAAAAGUGAAAGACGGUCUUGCUGUCACUUAUAGAUGGAUCCGCGCUGCAUUAGCUAGUUGGUAAGGUAACGGCUUACCAAGGCAACGAUGCAUAGCCGACCUGAGAGGGUGAACGGCCACACUGGAACUGAGACACGGUCCAGACUCCUACGGGAGGCAGCAGUAGGGAAUCUUCCGCAAUGGGCGAAAGCCUGACGGAGCAACGCCGCGUGAGUGAUGAAGGUCUUCGGAUCGUAAAACUCUGUUAUUAGGGAAGAACAUAUGUGUAAGUAACUGUGCACAUCUUGACGGUACCUAGUCAGAAAGCCACGGCUAACUACGUG
This 497-nucleotide ribosomal RNA is filed under the name uncultured bacterium. RNAcentral describes it as "partial 16S ribosomal RNA". It matches the Rfam family "Bacterial small subunit ribosomal RNA", at positions 28 to 507 of the family's 1533-position model. The record is from RNAcentral.